Molecule: long non-coding RNA, 1909 nt
Organism: Alexandromys fortis (reed vole)
Lineage: Eukaryota; Metazoa; Chordata; Mammalia; Rodentia; Cricetidae
Exons: 3
Source: RefSeq, a predicted model, not a curated record
GUAGCAAGGCUCUCAGUGGCUCAGCCAGUGGAACCUGCUGGUUAAGGAUCCCUUACCUGAAGGCUAAAGGCCCUGAAUACAAACAGAGCAGAGAGGAUGGCGGGAAAUUGCUCUGAGAGGAUGCAGGCCAAGAAAGGGACUUGUUCAUAUGAGUCCACGCGGUCACAAGCCUCAUCCAAGCUGUGAGGUGACAGAGCCCUCAAGAAUUGCGUCUCGCUCCCCCACCGUCUUCUCAAAGAGAAUAUUCACCCCAUUUUAUAGAACCAAUGGCUUGGGCUCAGGAAAAACAAUUUCUUCCCCUAGUGACCCAAGGGCAGGAAAGGAAAUUGGCCUCACUCCCAGGAUCUACUUGGUCUUCUGCGGUCAUGGACAGACAGACAGACUGCUUUCUGAGUCUUUGGUGCAAACAGUAGCAUGGUGAGGAGAAUCCUAGGAGAGGUAUCUUCUAGAAUUUUCCAUUUCCAAAAGCCAUUGUCCUGUCACAAACACUCAAGAUGAAAGAAUUAGAAGUAACUUAGGACUUUAGAAACGGCAACCAAGUCCUGAAGCUAAGAAACAAGUUGUUUUUAUCUACAAAUUCACAGAGGAUCUCCUUCACAUAGGGGCCUACACACGUGAUAACCUCUUGGACCUGGACCCUUUGCUACCCAGACACAGAGCACAGCACAGUCAGAAGAUCGGAAUUCACAGACCGCACCACUCCUUUCCUGGCCCCAUGGCCCGAAGACAAAUGAACACAUUUCUCCAACACUCAGUUAAUUAUUUGAUAAAGAUAGAGAUUUCUGUUCAAAUGAGGUCCUCACUGCAAUGCCAAAGGUGUUUGAUAAAACCGAAGAAUGAAAAUUUCCUUAAGCAAGCCGUACCGAGUGCAGGAGAGGUGUCAGCACGGGUCCUGGCCCAAGUUCACAGGUAUAGGAACCAAGGCCCAGAGAGUACAGAGCUGCCGUUCGGGAACUGCUCUCCUCACUAUACAGCCCGGUCAGAAUCAACUCUUCAACAAGGUUCACGUUCCACGCCGUUUAUUAUCCACGGGAAGAGCUUGCUGAGGACACCUCGUUCAAGGAGCACCCCCGGAUCUCUAUGCUGUGGAGAACUCACGCUCUCACCCUUUGAUUAGCAUAGUGUCUCAGAACGCCAGACUCUGAAGGCGAGGACGAGUGGCCCCCACCAGACUUCGUUAAGAAACACCAAACAAAAAUUUCAGGUGACAUGGAUCAAUAACCAGUGAUGGAUACUCUCUGCACUUGUGUUGAAUGCUCAUCUUUCAUCCGAGGCUGUGAAAUACAGUGGAGGAAAGAGGCCGAAUCCUGAGGGCAGCAAUGCAGCUGGGAUGUUUCAACCUGGGCGAGUCCUUGAAAAAUGCUGGGAAAUGUUAGUUUUGAAGAAAGAAAGAACGAGUACUAGACAGGGAGCUGGAGAGAUUGCUCGGCCGUUAAGAGCGCUGGCUGCUCUUUCAAAGGACCCUGCAGUACCCACAUGGCAGGUCACAACUGUCUGGACCUCCCAGUCCCAGCGGGUCUAGCAACCUCACACAGACACACAUGCGGGCAAAACACUAACACAUACAAAAUAAAAAUAAAUAAGUCAUUUAAAUUUUUUUUUUAAAAAAGCAGAAGGCCCUUGAUGGAGUUCAUAAUUUGAUUAUUUCCCUGUUGCCGUUAAUCUUGCCCUACCCAAGGUGUGGAUGGCAGCCCGACUUUCAGAAUUGUGUGGUCUGAGUGAGAACGGACCCCAUAGGCUCACUUAUUUGAAUGCUUGGUCCCUUGUUUGUGGGACAGUUUUGAAAGGGUUAGGAGGUGUGGCCUUGUUUGCGGAGGCGUGUCACUGGGGGUGGGCUUUGAGGUUUCAGAGCCCCAUGGUGUCCCCAGUUAGCUUUCCCUCUGCCUCUUGCCCAGGGAUCAGCGUUAGC